UCGCACCUACCGAUUGGAUGGUCCGGUGAGGAGUCGGGAUUGCGGCUUGGUUCCUUUAUUGGGAGUUGGCUGUGAGAACUUGUCUAAACCUUAUCAUUUAGAGGAAGGUG
RNAcentral lists this ribosomal RNA (110 nucleotides) under uncultured eukaryote. RNAcentral describes it as "partial small subunit ribosomal RNA". The record is from RNAcentral.